RNAcentral lists this ribosomal RNA (336 nucleotides) under Actinobacillus ureae. RNAcentral describes it as "bacterial SSU rRNA". It matches the Rfam family "Bacterial small subunit ribosomal RNA", at positions 62 to 394 of the family's 1533-position model. Lineage: Bacteria; Pseudomonadati; Pseudomonadota; Gammaproteobacteria; Pasteurellales; Pasteurellaceae. The record is from RNAcentral.
UCGAACGGUAACAGGGAUUAGCUUGCUAAUUUGCUGACGAGUGGCGGACGGGUGAGUAAUGCUUGGGAAUCUGGCUCAUGGAGGGGGAUAACUACGGGAAACUGUAGCUAAUACCGCGUAAUAUCUUAGGAUUAAAGUGUGGGACCGCAAGGCCACAUGCCAUGAGAUGAGCCCAAGUGGGAUUAGGUAGUUGGUGGGGUAAAGGCCUACCAAGCCGACGAUCUCUAGCUGGUCUGAGAGGAUGAUCAGCCACACUGGAACUGAGACACGGUCCAGACUCCUACGGGAGGCAGCAGUGGGGAAUAUUGCACAAUGGGGGGGACCCUGAUGCAGCCA